Molecule: non-coding RNA, 190 nt
Filed under: Trachymyrmex septentrionalis
Lineage: Eukaryota; Metazoa; Arthropoda; Insecta; Hymenoptera; Formicidae
Description: Eukaryotic small subunit ribosomal RNA
Rfam family: Eukaryotic small subunit ribosomal RNA
Source: Rfam by way of RNAcentral
CCGGUACGUUUACUUUGAACAAAUUAGAGUGCUUAAAGCAGGCUAUCCUCGCCUGAAUACUGCGUGCAUGGAAUAAUGGAAUAGGACCUCGGUUCUAUUUUGUUGGUUUUCGGAACCCCGAGGUAAUGAUUAAUAGGGACAGAUGGGGGCAUUCGUAUUGCGACGUUAGAGGUGAAAUUCUUGGAUCGUC